UUGACGGGGGCCCGCACAAGCGGUGGAGCAUGUGGUUUAAUUCGAAGCAACGCGAAGAACCUUACCAGGUCUUGACAUCCUCUGACAACCCUAGAGAUAGGGCUUUCCCUUCGGGGACAGAGUGACAGGUGGUGCAUGGUUGUCGUCAGCUCGUGUCGUGAGAUGUUGGGUUAAGUCCCGCAACGAGCGCAACCCUUGAUCUUAGUUGCCAGCAUUUAGUUGGGCACUCUAAGGUGACUGCCGGUGACAAACCGGAGGAAGGUGGGGAUGACGUCAAAUCAUCAUGCCCCUUAUGACCUGGGCUACACACGUGCUACAAUGGACAGAACAAAGGGCUGCGAGACCGCAAGGUUUAGCCAAUCCCAUAAAUCUGUUCUCAGUUCGGAUCGCAGUCUGCAACUCGACUGCGUGAAGCUGGAAUCGCUAGUAAUCGCGGAUC
This 439-nucleotide ribosomal RNA is filed under the name uncultured bacterium. Its description in RNAcentral is "bacterial SSU rRNA". It matches the Rfam family "Bacterial small subunit ribosomal RNA", at positions 910 to 1350 of the family's 1533-position model. The record is from RNAcentral.